This 489-nucleotide ribosomal RNA is filed under the name uncultured bacterium. Its description in RNAcentral is "bacterial SSU rRNA". It matches the Rfam family "Bacterial small subunit ribosomal RNA", at positions 21 to 507 of the family's 1533-position model. The record is from RNAcentral.
GGCUCAGAUUGAACGCUGGCGGCAUGCCUUACACAUGCAAGUCGAACGGCAGCGGACCUUCGGGUGCCGGCGAGUGGCGAACGGGUGAGUAAUAUAUCGGAACGUACCUUUCAGUGGGGGAUAACGUAGCGAAAGUUACGCUAAUACCGCAUAUUCUGUGAGCAGGAAAGCAGGGGAUCGCAAGACCUUGCGCUGAUUGAGCGGCCGAUAUCAGAUUAGCUAGUUGGUGAGGUAAAGGCUCACCAAGGCGACGAUCUGUANCGGGUCUGAGAGGAUGAUCCGCCACACUGGAACUGAGACACGGUCCAGACUCCUACGGGAGGCAGCAGUGGGGAAUUUUGGACAAUGGGCGCAAGCCUGAUCCAGCCAUGCCGCGUGAGUGAAGAAGGCCUUCGGGUUGUAAAGCUCUUUCGGCCGGGAAGAAAUCGCACAGGUUAAUACCCUGUGUGGAUGACGGUACCGGAAUAAGAAGCACCGGCUAACUACGUG